UACGGGGGGGGCAAGCGUUGUUCGGAAUUAUUGGGCGUAAAGGGCUCGUAGGCGGCCAACUAAGUCAGACGUGAAAUCCCUCGGCUCAACCGGGGAACUGCGUCUGAUACUGGAUGGCUUGAAUCCGGGAGAGGGAUGCGGAAUUCCAGGUGUAGCGGUGAAAUGCGUAGAUAUCAGGAGGAACACCUGCGGUGUAGACGGCUUACUGGACGGUAACUGACGCUGAGGCACGAAAGCGUGGGUAGCAAACAGG
This 253-nucleotide ribosomal RNA is filed under the name uncultured bacterium. Its description in RNAcentral is "partial 16S ribosomal RNA". It matches the Rfam family "Bacterial small subunit ribosomal RNA", at positions 524 to 776 of the family's 1533-position model. The record is from RNAcentral.